This 122-nucleotide ribosomal RNA is filed under the name Campylopus occultus. RNAcentral's name for it is "partial 5.8S ribosomal RNA". It matches the Rfam family "5.8S ribosomal RNA", at positions 34 to 154 of the family's 154-position model. From Rfam's summary of the family: 5.8S ribosomal RNA (5.8S rRNA) is a component of the large subunit of the eukaryotic ribosome. The record is from RNAcentral. Lineage: Eukaryota; Viridiplantae; Streptophyta; Bryopsida; Dicranales; Leucobryaceae.
CGAUGACGAACGCAGCGAAAUGUGAUACGUAGGGUGAAUUGCAGAAUUCCGCGAAUCAUCGAGUCUUUGAACGCAACUUGCGCCCGGGGCUCGACCCAGGGCAUUUCUGCCAGAGCGUCACC